AUGGUCUGGGGAAAGGCUCCUGUGUUGUUGAACCUGCCGGGUUGUGGGUGCAGCCUUAUAUCAGGAAGCCCAACCUUGACCUAAAAGCAAAUUCCCAGGAGAAGUCUUUCCCGGGAUUUGAAUUUGCAGUAACAGCUGUGAACAUUCUAGCAGCACUUUGAUCAUGUAUGAUACUGCAAACAGGA
Molecule: non-coding RNA, 185 nt
Organism: Callithrix jacchus (white-tufted-ear marmoset)
Lineage: Eukaryota; Metazoa; Chordata; Mammalia; Primates; Cebidae
Source: Ensembl